UACGUAGGGGGCAAGCGUUGUCCGGAUUUAUUGGGCGUAAAGAGCGUGUAGGCGGCCAGAUAGGUCAGCUGUGAAAACUCGAGGCUCAACCUCGAGAUGUCGGCUGAAACCAUCUGGCUAGAGUCCGGAAGAGGAGAAUGGAAUUCCUGGUGUAGCGGUGAAAUGCGCAGAUAUCAGGAAGAACACCAAUGGCGAAGGCAGCUCUCUGGGACGGUACUGACGCUGAGACGCGAAAGCGUGGGGAGCGAACAGG
This 253-nucleotide ribosomal RNA is filed under the name uncultured bacterium. RNAcentral's name for it is "partial 16S ribosomal RNA". It matches the Rfam family "Bacterial small subunit ribosomal RNA", at positions 524 to 776 of the family's 1533-position model. The record is from RNAcentral.